This 6651-nucleotide unclassified non-coding RNA is filed under the name Hevea brasiliensis (rubber tree). Lineage: Eukaryota; Viridiplantae; Streptophyta; Magnoliopsida; Malpighiales; Euphorbiaceae. The record is from RNAcentral.
GGUAGCAACAUCUGGAAUUAAAGCUCUAAUUUCUAUAAUUGAAACAGAAAAAUUUCACCAUAAAAGUUUCCCCAACUCUCUGUUUAAACAAAAAUAGCCUCAAAAUUUUGGAUUGUAAUAAUUGUACAACCAUUCCUACACACUUAUGCCCACCAAAUAGUUAUAUUUGCUCUGUGAUGAAGUAAAUGAAAUCAUAAUUGCCCGGCUGAUAAAUUUUCAAACUGCAGAAUUAACUCUCCCUUAUUCAACAGAAUAUCAUGUUAGUAAAGCAAAAGUGCAAUCCAUAAUCACUGAUAACUUUUCUUUUUGUUGCUGUCCUCCGGUGGCAAUGAUAAAAACUGCAAGAUAAGCUGCACCCGUGCAACUUCAAGUUGAAACUUCUCGGCAAUCUGGUGAACGUCCAUCGGCCCAUUGUGAUCAUCAGCUUUGCCUUGACGCAGAAGCAUGAUGUGACGCAGCUGUGCCACAUUCAGAGUUCCUUGAGGAGCAGGUCUUUCUUCAUACCUGCCAGAAUCAGGUUUUGUAUUCCGCAGCUUUGGCAUUGGCCUAUUAUACCUUUCUCCCACUGCUGCCUGUUAACAUAGUCAACAGCUUCUUUUCAGAUGAUUUAAAGAGUGAAAGAUGAAGGCACCAUUCACUUGGAUAAAGCCUCACAUGGUCAGGUGUAGGUUCCAAUGACAUCAGGUGGAAUCUCACUAAUUGAAGAUGUCACGGUUAGCAAUCAUGAGAUGCUAACAUGUUCUUAGAGGUGCAGCUUUAUCCAAGUGCAGCAUAGAGAUUUGGCUUAAAAGCAACCUCGUACACCAAUCAAAAGUUUAAAUAGGCAAUAUCUUUGUCGUAUUAAAUGCAUGACUUUGUAUCUCUUGCAUUUCUUAGGUAGAACUCAUGAAAUUUUUUCUUAAUUCAAUGCCCACCGGGCUGCAUAAUGAUGGACUCAAUACUAUAAGUCAAAAUUUAGCCAAUGACUUUGUCUCUAGCAUAUUCAGCAUCAACAAAAUUACAGUGCUUAUUAAUGAUUGCACUUACUAAUCAGGAGUACUAAUCAGGAGUUGAAUAAAAGCGAAGUAAACAAGCACUGCAAAUUCCAAUAGCUCACCUCACCAAUCUCAAGUUUCCCUCCAGGCUUUGAUCUAAUUCUACGCACCAUUUGACUAAGCAUUGCAUCAAAUUGUGGAUCUCGUUCUUCAAGGACAUCGUCAUCAUUAAUUCUUGGAGUACCAUCUUACCCAGAGCAUAAACGAAGCAUCAAUUUUGAAAAAAUUUGAAGUUAGUAAUCCCCUUCUUUAUAAGAGUUGCAUACACAUAUAUUAGUCACAUUAAAAAGAAAAACUAGAAUUUAUAUUUACUUGCUCAACUUCUCACACAAGCACACAGUCAUUUUUAAUAGGGGAAAUUACAAAAAAGUACCCCAUGAUUUCACCCAUUUUUUACUUCAAGAUCUGUGGUUCAUUUUGUAACAAAAUGGUACCCUGAGGUUUGCACUAUUAGCAAAGGACGACUUUCCAUUCUCUCUCCAUUAAAAGAUGCUGAUGUGAAACAAAAAGAUGCUGAUGUGAAACAGAAAGAUGCUGAUGUGAAAAAAAAAUCUGCUAACGUGAAAUUAAAAAAAGAAAAGUGAAAAUUAUAAAAAUGUAUCAUGUGAUUUCGCUCAUUUUCACUUUAAAGUCAGAGAUUUACUUUGUGACAAAGUGGUACCUUGUGAUAAUGCUCUAUCAGUAAACACAACAUUUUGUCUCACGCUGUUAAUUUUCGUUGAUGUGGCAUUGAAAUAGUAUUUUUAAUUAUUUUUAAUAGAAAAAAUAAUUCACAUACUGUUAAGAUGCAAGAAAGAGAUUUUAUUCCCUUUAGGCAUGGUAAUUUCGUAAGUGAGGUAUACUGAUAUUGAGUUUUGUAUGAAAACUUUGACUUUCAGAAUCACUAUCAAUAGAUUUUUAAACCUGAAGUUUAUAACUUCAAUUUUAGAAUCACUAUCAACAAUUUGAACUAACUAGAUUAAACCGGUGCUCUUAGCUGACUAGCCACUUGUUCCUCCCUUCUAUAAGAUGGUUGAUACAUUUUCUCACUUUGAGCAUAGCUUCCAUCAGCACUGUCUUGAGAAAUUCAUAGCUAAAGCUGCCCCUCGAACUCCCUACUACUCUUAGACAUUGUGUCAAAUUCUUCUGGCCUAGACUUGGCCAUCAGAAAAUACUAAAACUAGCAAAUUGAGUUUUUCAAAAAGAAAAUACGUAAAAUUUUCCAUUGUAUUCCGAAAAUGAAAGAUAUCAGAUUAUGAAUGUUUCCAGGAGUUAAAUAAUUUACUUGAUUGAUUUGAUAACGGCCCAAAAUCUCAGGGUACUAUUUUAUCACACAAUGAACCAAGGACUCUAAAAUAAAAAUGAGCGGAAGCACAAGAUACUUUUUGAUAAUUUUUACUUUUUUCUUCCAUGUCAGCACCUUUUAACAAGAAAAGAUGAAAAGUCAUCGUUUACUAACAGUGUAAAAAUUGAGGAUACCACUUUAUUACAAAGAAAACCAUAUACACUGAAAUGAAAAUAGAUUAAAUCACAUAGUAUUUUUUUUGUAAUUUCCCUUAAUUUAAUUAUCAGAAAAUGUCCCUUAAAUAUCGAAGUAAGAAACUGCAUAGUAAUGUUUUAAAGUUAUCCAUAGAUAAAUAGCUUCGAAAAAACAAUCCUCAAAUAAGAUUAUCAAAGGAAAAUUUGUUAAACUGUGAAUAAUUCAACAAUAAACAACCAUCUUCGGCCAAAAAGUUUUUGAUAGCACCAAUAUUUGUUAAAUUAAACUUUUUAGAUUUCAAUUUAGUUAUUUUUAUAAUUUUAUGUAUUAUAAAGUCUUUUUAAUUUAAUUAUUUAAAUUUAAACAUCCAUUCUACGCUAUAUUUUCUCUAAAUCCUUAUGAAUAGGAAAGAAAACCACUUUCUUUUUUAAUCUACUACUCAUCUUGACAUGCUCAUCUAGGGUGUGCAAUCGAUCAAUACAAUUUCACGCCAAAUUGAACCAACCAAAAACUAAAUUUUAAAAUUAUGAUAACCAAACCAAAUUAAAGUAUAAAGAAAAUUAAAUCAAACCAAAUUGAAAAUUUUUCGAUUUGGUUUAAUUCGAUUUUGAGUUUUGCCAUUCUCUCAUCUGAGUUACAAUCUACAGCGAUUGGGUCACAUUUCUCACCCAUUUGAUAUUUAUAAGCAAUCAACAAUAACCCAUCAAACAAAAUAAUUUUGAUCCACAAACAAAAUCCCCACCAAACAAAACCAUAAAAAAUCCAAACAAUUAAACAAUCAACAAAAUAAACUAUAAGAAAUUAGAUCCAGUAAAGUAUAAGAAAUUUAACCAUCAACAUUGUCAAAUUUUCAAAACCAACCAUGCAAUAUAAACAAAGUACCAAACCCAACGACUAACAACAGAGACGAGGCAUGGAGCACGGCGAGGCGAGGUGCGACUUGUGAGGAAGAAUCGGCCAAAUAAUCAACCAAAGGAAAGUAAGGAAGAAUCAAACAGUCAACCAAAAUGAGAAGCGAGCCGUCAUUCCUUCAAAGAGGCCUUCAAGCUUUUCUAAUCACUAAAGGGUGUGAGAUCAAUCUCCAUGCGUCUCUUCCCCUUACUCACCCUCUUACAAAUUCCAACAAAGUAAACAUCCAAGUUAAUAUAUAAUUUUGAAAUGAAAAAGGUUGGUUCUAUACAAAAAUAUAAUGAUCAAACUUAUCUUGGUGAAUAGAAAAACAAUUUAUGCUACGUUUGGCAGGCAGUAAUGCAAUGUAAGACAAUCAAAUUUUCUAUUAAAUAUCCAUCGAAAAUUUGAUUGUGUUAUAUUGCAUCACAGUCUACCAAACAUAGCCUAGGUCCAUACAAUUCUUUUUGCGUAGCAUAUGAUUAAUGUCUACAUAACUUUUUCCCAUUGCAACUGAAAUAAGCCUAUCAAUUGAGCACCAGAAAAUAAAAAAACAAAAGGAGGAGAGAGAGAAGAAAAAUCAAGCAUCUUGCUUUAACAUGUCAAGUGAUGCAAAAGCAAAGUUCAUUUAGAAUAUCACUUGUGGAAACAAGUCCCACAUUUGCAGUGUACAAGAAAAUUAAAGGAUAUAUAAGCAUUGGCAAACCAAACCAAACCAAAAUGGCAGGGAAGCCCAAUUCAACGUGUAGCCUACCAGCUUAAUAUUCACAUUCUGGGGUCCAUAAUUCUCAACAGCUCAAAAUGUUUUUGAAGUUACUGUUCACAUUGCUGUUCAAGCUAUUGAAGUAGUUUCAAAAUAGGAUUACUUGUCAUUUGCUAAUGUUUUGAUUAUGCUAUUUUGGAUCUCUAAGAUUAGACUUUAUUCAGAAGAGUUGAGACCUAAUUAUUUUAGGAUUUCACUUUCAAGAGUUUAUUGUACAAGUGACACCCAAUAGGCACAUUGGUUCCCUAAAUUUCCUUUUUUAUUUUAUUUUUUUGGUUUUUAAGUUAAAGUAUAGUAAUUUAGGAAAUUUUGGUGUAACUUCCUAUUUUAGACUUUCCUAUAUGAGAAGAGAAAAUCUAUUUUCCUAACAGUUUCAGUUUUUAACCAAAAAAAAAAAAAGAUUCCAAUAAUGACUAAGAAAGAAUGUAGAUAAUUGCAUAGAAAUGAAAGGAACAAGAAAAGGUACUAACUGUGAUUAAUAUGUUGGAGAUACUAAGAGUGGUGCAAGGUGAAAUUAAACAAAUUGGUAGAGUUCUACAAAAUUAAUAGUUAUCGAACACUCGUACCUACUCCCAUAUGAAUUAGAAUGCAAGCAUGCAGUACAAGUGGAAUUUCCCAAGAAGAGUUUCUCACACUGAACUUAAAUGGAACCAGGACAUAUGCACUUGUUAAAGAUGGAUUGAGAACUUACAGCUAUUGCCAUGAGUUCUUCUAGCAGUUCCUCUAAAUGCCGUAGAGGCCAUUGUGUUGGACCAUCCACAGGGGCAUUCAAAGGAUCAUCAUGAACCUAAGCACCCAAAAGUAGCUAUUAGAAACCACAAUUACAAGAAAUCUUAGAAUCACACUCUAGCUAAAAAAAGGACCCAUAAAACAAAAAGAUAUAUACUGCAUACAAAUAACUUGCAGGCAAUACUGGAGAAUGAAAAACUUUGCUGGACAAUUCCUUCCUACAAAACUUUGCUGGACAAUUCCUUCCUACCAGUGAACUUUGCUAUCCAGUAUUCACUAACUAGAAAAGGGGUAUUAGGAGGUAACUUCAAAUACCUACCUUCAGCAUGAUGUAAAUAUAAUAUCGUGACAUUUAAUUACUAUAAUUGAUCACUUUCAGCAGAUUCACCAUACCUCCAUGAAAAUUCCAUCCACCCCAACAGCAACUGAUGUCCUUGCAAUGCAAGGUAUUAAUUCACGGAGACCUCCACUAGCAACACCUCCACCAUCCAACUUUCUCCCAGCAGGCUGUUGUAGUGAAUGUGUCACAUCAGCUACAACAGGACAAGCAGCUUCUCUCAUCCACUCAAAAUUACGUGAAUCAACAAUCAAAUCAUUAUAGCCAAACAUAGUUCCUCGUUCACAAACCAUCACAUUUGAAUUUCCAGCCAAUCUAACCUUCUCAGCUGAGUUUAUCAUGACAGAAGGAGCACAGAACUGGCCUUUUUUAAUAUUGAUAAUUUUCCCUGUCUUUGCAGCUGCAACUAGGAGAUCUGUCUGACGACAUAAAAAUGCUGGAAUCUGUAUGAUAUCUGCAACUCUGCCAACUGGUUCACACUGAAUAGUUUCAUGCACAUCAGUAACAAUGGGAAUAUCAUAUGCUAUUUUGACCUUUUCAAGAAUCUUCAAGCCUUCACUCAUGCCUGGACCUCGAAAUGACUUUGAAGAUGUUCUGUUAGCUUUGUCAAAGCUUGACUUAAAAACCAAUGGCAAUCCAAGUUUUGAUGUAAUAGUCUUAAGGUGGUUGGCCAUUCUGAGAAUGUGUUCCUCAGAUUCAAUCACAUUGGGGCCUGCUAAUAAGAAAAAUGGCUCCGCUGCCUUAAGAUUGUUAAAUAGCAAUGUUGAAUCCAUCUCCUCCAGUUAGCCAAAAGCCAAAGAUUUGUGCAACUGCAUAUAUAAAUCAUAUAAUUUAUCGAGUAAAUUAACUUAUAAUCAACAGAAGCAAGUGUAACUGCAAGCGAGUGAUUGAUUGACCGACCCAACAAUGCACCAAAUUAUCAUAAUCCAUACCCAGGCAUAAUUAAUGCAGAUAUACCACAAUGCGGGAUCCAUAUUCAAAAUUUCAAAUCGUUACUGCCAAUUCUAUAAAUUUAACAAGAGAACUUCAACUGAAAAUACAAACAAGAAAGAGAAAUAUCAGUUGCCUUCUUUUCUGAAUCAGAUCCAGUUCCCUUUUGACACUUAACUGCUGCCAAAAUGCAACUACUGCCCAAAUCAAUAUAUGGCGUUUUGGUAUUAGAUGAACCUCUAAAUUUGGGUAAGAUCGACUCCUGAAAUUCGAGUCGUCUCUGUAAGUUGUCACUGAGACUAGCAAAAUUAUCCAAGAAGGACCAAACUUAUCUUUAACUUACAAUGACGAGAGAGAUGAGAAAUCCCCAAAUGCACAAGCUCAAAGCCUCAACAAAGCGUUUAUAAUUAAAUUGAAAGGAGAGUGACAGAGUGGCACCUUAAACCGCCAGGAAUUCAAACUGUCGCCGUCGCCCGGAGUUUGAGGGAAAGGAGUGAAAUAAAAAAGUGCG